Molecule: long non-coding RNA, 617 nt
Organism: Cydia splendana
Lineage: Eukaryota; Metazoa; Arthropoda; Insecta; Lepidoptera; Tortricidae
Exons: 3
Source: RefSeq, a predicted model, not a curated record
UAGUAGAAUAGGUACCUAUUCGAAAGGACGCGUCGCGUAUCUAAGCGAUUUAUAUUUGCCUGUACUUAUUUUGUUAUUAUAUACAGUUAUGGAUUCUUUGCGCGUCUUGCUAGUUUUAAUAAUUGCUGUACUAAUAGUGCAGAAUGGGGAAUCGUUAAGAUGUUGGAUGUGUAACUCCAAUGCUGUUGGCGACGGAUGCACCGACCCUUUUCUCGGAUCCGCUGACGUAAGAUAUGACUAUAGGGUAUUCACGAGGGAUUGCAAUGGUCCACCCUUUCUAAUACAAAUACUGCCUAAUGGAACUAAACACGCAAAUGAACUGGGCCCUGGAUUGGAACUUUUCUGCCUAAAACUGACUGGAAAAGUUUUAGGAAAAGCAAAGUGGGUGAUGCGGACAUGCGCGUCAGGGUUUCCCAACCUCACUGAGACUUCUUGCAUGGGUUCCGACCCUGCAAGUACAACAGGGGGAAACAUAGAAACCUGCGACGCCUGCGCGGGCGAUUUGUGCAACUGGGCUACAAGACAAGGACCGCGGGCCGUUGUACUGUUCGUGCCACUUCUUUUGUUGCUGACGUUGACGUAAAGUGUCGGUGGGAUCCGUAUACCUAGUCACCAUC